RNAcentral lists this ribosomal RNA (492 nucleotides) under uncultured bacterium. Its description in RNAcentral is "partial 16S ribosomal RNA". It matches the Rfam family "Bacterial small subunit ribosomal RNA", at positions 29 to 507 of the family's 1533-position model. The record is from RNAcentral.
AGUGAACGCUGGCGGUAGGCCUAACACAUGCAAGUCGAACGGCAGCACAGUAAGAGCUUGCUCUUACGGGUGGCGAGUGGCGGACGGGUGAGGAAUACAUCGGAAUCUACUUUUUCGUGGGGGAUAACGUAGGGAAACUUACGCUAAUACCGCAUACGACCUACGGGUGAAAGCAGGGGAUCUUCGGACCUUGCGCGAUUGAAUGAGCCGAUGUCGGGUUAGCUAGUUGGCGGGGUAAAGGCCCACCAAGGCGACGAUCCGUAGCUGGUCUGAGAGGAUGAUCAGCCACACUGGAACUGAGACACGGUCUAGACUCCUACGGGAGGCAGCAGUGGGGAAUAUUGGACAAUGGGCGCAAGCCUGAUCCAGCCAUACCGCGUGGGUGAAGAAGGCCUUCGGGUUGUAAAGCCCUUUUGUUGGGAAAGAAAAGCAGCAGGUUAAUACCCCGCUGUUCUGACGGUACCCAAAGAAUAAGCACCGGCUAACUUCGUG